Molecule: transfer RNA, 76 nt
Filed under: Xylella fastidiosa
Lineage: Bacteria; Pseudomonadati; Pseudomonadota; Gammaproteobacteria; Lysobacterales; Lysobacteraceae
Also listed under: 9 other names
Description: tRNA-Phe
Rfam family: tRNA
About the family: Transfer RNA (tRNA) molecules are approximately 80 nucleotides in length. Their secondary structure includes four short double-helical elements and three loops (D, anti-codon, and T loops). Further hydrogen bonds mediate the characteristic L-shaped molecular structure. tRNAs have two regions of fundamental functional importance: the anti-codon, which is responsible for specific mRNA codon recognition, and the 3' end, to which the tRNAs corresponding amino acid is attached (by aminoacyl-tRNA synthetases). tRNAs cope with the degeneracy of the genetic code in two manners: having more than one tRNA (with a specific anti-codon) for a particular amino acid; and 'wobble' base-pairing, i.e. permitting non-standard base-pairing at the 3rd anti-codon position.
Source: RNAcentral
GGCCGGGUAGCUCAGUUGGUAGAGCAGGGGACUGAAAAUCCCCGUGUCGGGGGUUCGAUUCCCUCCCCGGCCACCA